GUUACGAUGGUAAUAUGGAGGACGGAAUGUGUGUUCAGCAACAAGCCAUCUGGGAGGGAAAAUGACAAAGUCGAGUAAUGCUACUCCAGGUUUAUCAGUUGGCGCCGUUAAUACUGUAUUUAUUGAUGGAUCACUGUGAUCAAACAACACAGUAUUGUAAGGGCAGAACUUACUGAGAUCGUACUUAUAGGGAACAUAAUUUCCAUGCCAGGCAACUACAUUAAAGGGAGAAAAGUCUUGUAUCGCAGUAAACAAUUCCCCACCAAAUUUUUGAACAAUUGUGUAACCAGGACGAGAACUCUUUUCAAACCAGGCUACAGGCGCAAGGAAAUCCCUUGGUGCAGCAAGACCAUUAGCACCUAUCGGUCCAAGGUCAGGAAGCUGGAAAUGACUGCCAAAAAUCUCAGCUACAUAGCCACGUGAUGGACCAUCAGGCAGAUCAACAACAAAGCGAAAACCUUGAGGUAAAACCACUAUUUCACCUGGAGAAACUUCCAGUCUACCACACUCUGUUAUAAUCCACAGCCUUCCACUCUGAGGAACUAUCAAGAA
This 552-nucleotide unclassified non-coding RNA is filed under the name Hevea brasiliensis (rubber tree). Lineage: Eukaryota; Viridiplantae; Streptophyta; Magnoliopsida; Malpighiales; Euphorbiaceae. The record is from RNAcentral.